GGCAUUGUUGCCUACUGUGACUGAUGGCCACAUGCCUCUCUGUAGGGGCUGUGGGAGGCUGUGACAGGAGCCAGGGGGCCCAGGGGUCGUGGCUGAACACCUGUUGUCUCUCAUAAGUGGAAGCCAUCACCUACCGGGUCACUGGGGUUCAAGGCCUGUGCUCGACCGGGACCAGGCUGUCUGUGCACAGCUCACUGCCCCACAAGCAAGGACUCUACCCAAUCCUUCCCUUGCUCAACUGAGGAAAGUCCUAAGCCAUCAUAAUGCAGAAAGCAUCAUGACAGCUAGCUCUGGACCAGUUCAGGAAGAGAGGGCCAUCCCUGUCUCCAGAGAAGGCCAAAGUAAGAGACCUGAAGAGACCCGCAGCCAAGGCUCGAAGAGCAGUAAGCAGUCUAUGAAAGAACACAGACAGCUCCUGCCCUGCUCCGGGCAAGCCUCUGUCUGUCACCCUGUAGUCUGUGGGCUCACAUAUGCAAGCCCCGCCAUCCGUGAUGCUCUGACCAUCCUGGCCGAAUCACUUUUCUAGCUCUCAGAGAAGCACUGGAUUAAAAUGUUUCCGCUGACCCUGCAAUGAGGCCAGUCAGUGGAUUCUAAGAAGGUGUCCGGCGGUUUAGCAUCUUGCCUCAGAUGCUGCGGCUGCUGAUUGCACACGUGUUUCCGGCUUGGCUCCCACAGUGAAUGUUGACAGAAACAGCGUCUUCAGAGAAUGUAGAAAAAGAGGGAUUCGGGAGAUUAGGGACACAAUUUCCAUGUCUAGACUCAGUUCCCGCAGCGACAUCUGCUCUAAUCAGGGUCCCUGGGAUUCAGCACCUUGUGCAGAUCACCCCCUAAACAGCUUCGCUCUCUUGGAGAAACUGGAUUGUGAAACCUCCCGACAGCAGCCCUGGGUGCGAGGACCCUCCCCGUGCCGUUCCAAGGUUAAACCCCAGGUGAAGUCCUGAGGUUUUGUGGUUGCAAAAACAAAGUAUGAGAAAAG
Molecule: long non-coding RNA, 976 nt
Filed under: Mus musculus (house mouse)
Lineage: Eukaryota; Metazoa; Chordata; Mammalia; Rodentia; Muridae
Description: predicted gene, 46328
Source: RNAcentral